GUCUCUACUAAAAUUACAAAAAUUAGCCAGGCAUGAUGGCAGAUGCCUGGUAAUCCCAGCUACUCAGGAGGCUGAGGCAGGAGAACAGCUUGAACCCAGGUGGCAGAGGUUGCAGUGAGCUGAGAUCAUGCCACUGCACUCCAGCCUGGGCAACAAGAGCGAGACUCCGUCUCAAAAAAAAAAAGAACAGAAAUAAUCAAACCACAGCAUCAAUUCAUUCAUUCAUUCCACCAACAUUUAUUAAGCAGCAAGCUCCGAAGCAGACGUUUACCAGUUUUGCACAACUUUGUCAUGGACCAACUGGCCUUGUGGCUCAGUGGCAUCUGGAGGCAAGAGGGCCAAGUAGACAGGGGUCUCAGCCCCCUCCUCCACAGUCCUGAUGCUGUCUUUCCCAUCCAUGUCUGUCUUCACUGGUCCUGGGCAGCACGCAUUCACCAGAAUCCUGUCAGCUUUCCUCUUCUCAUCCAGACGCCUGGCCAGGAUCCUCGAUAAGACCGUGACCCCCAACUUGGACACCCCAUAAGGUUCCCAGAUGAUGUGACAGCUACUGGUCUCCAGCCACACCUUGAGAACACUUGGCUUUGACUACCACUUCUUAAACUUAAAGGAAAACUAGACAAUCCACCAGCCCAGGAGGGGACAAGCAGGCUUAUUCCUCCUCCUCGUCAUCUCUGGCUCCAGCCCCACCCUGGCCCUUGCUGGCAUUCUUCCUCUUCACGUGGCUGGGGUUGGCCACCCCAAUAGGGAAGCAGAGGGAGAAGUCAAUGUGCUUCUGGGAAUCCAGGCGGACAGUGAAGAACAGGAUAUUUACCACCUGCUCACGGACACGGAUAUGACACUGUUGAAUCAGCACAUGAGCGUGGCGGAUGGACUUAGCCAAGCCAAGCUUGAAGACCUGGGUCUGUAGGAAUCUCUAAGAAAUCAUUGAUCUUCAGGCCCAGGAUGUAAUCCAGCUUCAUCUUGCCCUCAUCCAGCACCCCAGUGCGGACCAGCCACUGCAGCAGGGCAAUGCCUUCGAACAGACGCCGUGGGUCCUUCUCAUCAAGCGUCAGCAGCUCCCGGGCGGCCUUAUGGAUCUUGACCAGGGUAAAUUUGACCCUCCAGACCUCACAUUUGUUCUGGAGCCCAUACUCACCAAUCAGCUUUAGCUUUUGGUCGAGAUGAGGUUUCUCGAAGGGUCUCUGCAGGGUCACAUAAGUUUGGCAACAAACCCAGCUCUGGGCCGCUGGCAUGUUGGCUCCACUUGCCCGUCUAUGCCUAAGCACAGGCCCUGGUCACUGAGAAAGAGCUCAAAUUUUUUAUAUAUUUCAUCUAAGGUGUUGAUUCUAUUGAUACCCUUAUCCUUUUAACAUGCCCUUAUCCUUUUAAUGUUGGUAAUGAUGCUACCUGUCAUUUCUGAGACUGGUUUGUGUCUUUCGUGUUUUUUUCUGAUCUGUCUGGCUAGAGGUUUACCAAUUGAUUUGAUUUUCCUCAAACUUCUGGUUACAAUGAUUCUCUCUCUCUCUCUUUUCCUGAUUAUAUUAAUUUCUGUUCUGAUCUUUGUUUCCUUUCUUCUGCUUACUGGAUUUUAUUUGCUCUUUUUCUGGUUUCUUACUGUAAAGGCAGAAGUCAUUGAUUUGCAUUGAUUUGAGACUUCUUUUCUAAUGUAGGCAGUAAGUGGUGUAAAUUCCCUUUUAGUAUGACUUUAGUGGCAUCUCACAUUGAUAUGUUUUCAAUUUCAUUCAGUUUAUUUUUAUUUAUUUUUUAAAUUAUUUAUUUAUUUAUUUAUUUUGAGUUGUGUAGCCCUUUAUUAGCAACUAAAAUAGAAGGUAUCUGUUGUACAACAUGGGUAGUAAUUGACUAUAACUGGAGAUUUAUUAU
Molecule: long non-coding RNA, 1860 nt
Organism: Homo sapiens (human)
Lineage: Eukaryota; Metazoa; Chordata; Mammalia; Primates; Hominidae
Gene: CBR3-AS1
Product: CBR3 antisense RNA 1
Source: Ensembl